Long non-coding RNA from Ictalurus punctatus (channel catfish), 1253 nucleotides. NCBI's taxonomy places the organism in Eukaryota, Metazoa, Chordata, Actinopteri, Siluriformes, Ictaluridae. The record is from Ensembl.
CCCAUGAUGUCGAUGUUUGUUCAGGUGUGCGGCAACGCAGUUUAAACAACUUCUUCGUCUUCUUCGGCAGGUGGGGCAUAGGUGUAUUGCGCACUACCGCCACCUAGUGAUGGAGAUGGGACGUGUCGCCAUGGACAUACAGCUGAUCUGUAAUCACGCGCAUGCGUUAACAUGUUAUGGCGCUAGAAACUCAAUCAUCCGCGCAUGCGCAAACAGCACCACGUGUUAGGAUCUUCAACUGGAUCUUCAGCAGCUGGACAGCUUCUCUGAUCUCCUGAUUCAGUUUGCUGAUAAAAUGAUGUUUAUCCCAAGAUUAACUUCUCAACAUAUCAGUGUGCAGUGGGUAACUCUUUUGGUCCUGGUUUCAAUGUCAUUGAAAGACUUGAGGUGGUGAGUACAUGUUCACGUUUGUUUUUACACUGCAGUCUGAAAGGAUGAAUUGGGUUGUACCCAUUAAACUUGUGGACGACAUCAUUGUCCCAUGGCAUUUUUAAGUCACCAAAGCACUGAUCAGACUGCUCUUAAUGCAUCCUGCUAUAGUGAGCGAUUGCUUCCUCUCAACUAGACUUUGUCUUGCAGAUGUUAAGUGAAUGCCUGUUGGUGACCACUGCUUGGACCACUGUGAUGGGUGGUGUUUGCCUGGAAGGCUGUGAGUGUCUUCAGAUCAGGACUGGUCAUCCUCUGAAACGAAGAUGUUUGUGCCAAAUGAAAGUCUUGGUUCAGAAGUGCUCUUAAAUGCAGUUGUCAUGGAUUGCAUUUUCAUGAACAGAAGAACUUAAUGGUGUACUGUGGGUUUCAGGGUGGGCCUGACAGUUUGAGGACUUGAACAGCUGAAACAAUGGACAAGCUGGAUGCUCUUUGGAACAAAGGUGUCCCUGAUCAGGACCAUAAGCCUGUGCAUGAAGAUACUGGUGCUGCCCUGGAUGAGGUCAUCUGUUCUGUUGUAGAAUCAACUUGGUGCUGGAGGCCAUGGACAUGUGAAGUUAUGCCUGUAAAUGCUGACAAGACUUAAUAAAGUUCUUAACUCAACUCUUCUGUGGUGCUUAGAUUUAUUCAUGGUGAUUGCAUCAUAUCUACCAGCAGGGUAAACUUUUCAUUAAGACCUUCAGAACUGUAUGCAGGGUGUCCACAGGGCCUUGAGGUCUUACAUUAAGGUCUAACAAUAAGGCCUUAAUUAGGACUAAUUCACAUUUCAAAGGUCUCCAUGCAACAGAAAAGCAGAUUAGGAUAUUUUGGCUUGUUGGGUUUUUUUU